GAUACUUGGUGUGAAUUGCAGAAUUCAGUGAAUCAUCGAGUCUUUGAACGCACAUUGCGCCCCCUGGUAUUCCGGGGGGCAUGCCUGUCCGAGCGUCAUUGCUGCCCUCAAGCACGGCUUGUGUGUUGGGCUUCCGUCCCUGGCAACGGGGACGGGCCCAAAAGGCAGUGGCGGCACCAUGUCUGGUCCUCGAGCGUAUGGGGCUUUGUCACCCGCUCCCGUAGGUCCAGCUGGCAGCUAGCCUCGCAACCAAUCUUUUUAACCAGGUUGACCUCGGAUCAGGUAGGGAUACCCGCUGAACUUAAGCAUAUCAAUAAGCGGAGGAA
RNAcentral lists this ribosomal RNA (326 nucleotides) under Aspergillus sp. BAB-2556. Its description in RNAcentral is "eukaryotic LSU rRNA". The stretch from base 1 to 98 matches the Rfam family "5.8S ribosomal RNA", at positions 57 to 154 of the family's 154-position model. Lineage: Eukaryota; Fungi; Ascomycota; Eurotiomycetes; Eurotiales; Aspergillaceae. The record is from RNAcentral.